This 21-nucleotide microRNA is filed under the name Populus trichocarpa (black cottonwood). RNAcentral's name for it is "ptc-miR6425c-3p". The record is from miRBase by way of RNAcentral. Lineage: Eukaryota; Viridiplantae; Streptophyta; Magnoliopsida; Malpighiales; Salicaceae.
UCCAUGGAAGAUAAUGACUCG